GAAAAAAAAUUACAUGUGUGUACGUACGUUGAGCCCGGAAAAAAAGGCCCAGCCGUCUCUCAUUCUCUCCUCCCUCCUUCCUCUGCCUCCCGUGACGAGAGCAUCCCCAGCCGCCGCCGCCGCCGCCGCCGCCAGGCGAUUCCGGCGAGUUCUGGCGGCCCUCGCCGGCGCGCAGGACACGCACGUGCUCCCCUCGCCACGCUCCUUCCUUCCCUCCGGCCAGAUCCGCUCCUCGCGGCCGUGUCCCCUCCCGGCGGCUAGGGUUCCGGCUGCGGCGUCGCCUCCAGCUCCGGCGAGGUGAGCUCUGCCUUCCCUUCCCUGGCCUUGAUUCAGAUCUCCAUCUUCCUUCUCUCCCCGACGCCCGAGCCCGACGACGCCGUGCCGGCGACGGCAUCGGCUGUGUGCGCCGUGCGUCGACUACAACCUCUCCGGUGAGGUGAGGAGGUCAUAUUCUACUGCCCCGAGCACAUUGAAAGAUGGUUAAUGCAAUCAAGGGGCUGUUCAUCUCCUGUGAUAUACCGAUGGCUCAGUUCAUUGUCAAUAUGAAUGCGUCAAUGCCCGCAUCGGAGAAGUUCAUCAUGCACAUUCUUGACCCCACACACAUGUUCAUCCAGCCUAAUAUGGGAGAUUACAUCAAAAGUAAGAUGGCGGAGUUCAGAGACCAGAACAGCUAUGAGAAGCCAACGUGAAGGGCCACCAUCCAUUACCGCGGUGCCAGCUUCCAUCCAUUACCGCGGUGCCAGCUUCAAGAAACUCCAUCAAGAGAUACCUAUGUUGAUUAUCGCUAUGUAGAAUGGUUAUAUGCUGAGACUGAACGUCAUGUCUCUCUUGUGAUGUUCUGUUUCCUACUUCUGAGCCAAUUUAUGAUACAGAGUUCUGCGUCUUAUGUAUCUUCGGAGUGAGCCUUUAGCUGCUAAUAUUUCUGGUGAUGUUGAUAUUGAUACCGUGUGCUGAAUAAAGUACCACCUCUUGUCAAGAUGUUCGGUAAGCUAAUUACUGGAGCUCUGGAUAGAGCCAAGUAGAAGCUUUACUGAAAUUGCUUUCCAAAAUUAUCAGCCCUGUAAUGAAAAACCAAGUACAUGAAGUAAGAAAGAUAUAUUUGUGUUACAAUUUGUAAAUUCAAG
Molecule: ribosomal RNA, 1124 nt
Filed under: Triticum aestivum (bread wheat)
Lineage: Eukaryota; Viridiplantae; Streptophyta; Magnoliopsida; Poales; Poaceae
Description: partial small subunit ribosomal RNA
Source: RNAcentral